This 492-nucleotide ribosomal RNA is filed under the name uncultured bacterium. RNAcentral's name for it is "partial 16S ribosomal RNA". It matches the Rfam family "Bacterial small subunit ribosomal RNA", at positions 29 to 507 of the family's 1533-position model. The record is from RNAcentral.
AGUGAACGCUGGCGGUAGGCCUAACACAUGCAAGUCGAACGGCGGCACAGUAAGAGCUUGCUCUUACGGGUGGCGAGUGGCGGACGGGUGAGGAAUACAUCGGAAUCUACUUUUUCGUGGGGGAUAACGUAGGGAAACUUACGCUAAUACCGCAUACGACCUACGGGUGAAAGCAGGGGAUCUUCGGACCUUGCGCGAUUGAAUGAGCCGAUGUCGGAUUAGCUAGUUGGCGGGGUAAAGGCCCACCAAGGCGACGAUCCGUAGCUGGUCUGAGAGGAUGAUCAGCCACACUGGAACUGAGACACGGUCCAGACUCCUACGGGAGGCAGCAGUGGGGAAUAUUGGACAAUGGGCGCAAGCCUGAUCCAGCCAUACCGCGUGGGUGAAGAAGGCCUUCGGGUUGUAAAGCCCUUUUGUUGGGAAAGAAAAGCAGCAGGUUAAUACCCCGCUGCUCUGACGGUACCCAAAGAAUAAGCACCGGCUAACUUCGUG